ACCAUGAGAGUUGGAAAUACCCGAAGCCUGUGAGCUAACAGUAAUGAGGCAGCAGGUCGAAGGUAGAGCCAAUGAUUGGGGUGAAGUCGUAACAAGGUAGC
Molecule: ribosomal RNA, 101 nt
Filed under: uncultured bacterium
Lineage: Bacteria
Description: partial 16S ribosomal RNA
Rfam family: Bacterial small subunit ribosomal RNA
Source: RNAcentral